UCCUACGGGAGGCAGCAGUGGGGAAUAUUGGACAAUGGGGGGAACCCUGAUCCAGCCAUGCCGCGUGUGUGAAGAAGGCCCUCGGGUUGUAAAGCACUUUCAGUGAGGAAGAACGCCUGGUGGUUAAUACCCAUCAGGAAAGACAUCACUCACAGAAGAAGCACCGGCUAACUCCGUGCCAGCAGCCGCGGUAAUACGGAGGGUGCGAGCGUUAAUCGGAAUUACUGGGCGUAAAGCGCGCGUAGGUGGCUUGAUAAGCCGGUUGUGAAAGCCCCGGGCUCAACCUGGGAACGGCAUCCGGAACUGUCAAGCUAGAGUGCAGGAGAGGAAGGUAGAAUUCCCGGUGUAGCGGUGAAAUGCGUAGAGAUCGGGAGGAAUACCAGUGGCGAAGGCGGCCUUCUGGACUGACACUGACACUGAGGUGCGAAAGCGUGGGUAGCAAACAGGAUUAGAUACCCUGGUAGUCCA
This 468-nucleotide ribosomal RNA is filed under the name uncultured Halomonas sp. Its description in RNAcentral is "bacterial SSU rRNA". It matches the Rfam family "Bacterial small subunit ribosomal RNA", at positions 337 to 797 of the family's 1533-position model. Lineage: Bacteria; Pseudomonadati; Pseudomonadota; Gammaproteobacteria; Oceanospirillales; Halomonadaceae. The record is from RNAcentral.